RNAcentral lists this long non-coding RNA (518 nucleotides) under Cricetulus griseus (Chinese hamster). RNAcentral's name for it is "lncRNA (ENSCGRG00015030143.1)". Lineage: Eukaryota; Metazoa; Chordata; Mammalia; Rodentia; Cricetidae. The record is from RNAcentral.
UCCCUGCACUGUUAUCAACUGAUACUCUAAUGUCCAAUUUCCUGGCUCAAGAAUGAAGGGCUAUGGGCUGGUCCUGCUUUUUCAAAUUGUUGUAGUUAAGCCAGAAGUUUAUGCAGAUGAGUAGAACUGGAACACUGUCCUGCUUGACCUGGAUUCUCCUCAAUUCCCUCCAGUGAGGAAGGCCUAUGCCCCAUUCAUCCUCUGGCUCUAACAUGGUGGCAUGGAACAGUUGAAUGAACUGACAGUAGACUUUGUUAUCUGCGUCCAUCCUUCUAGAUCCAGAAGGAAAAGAAACAUUGGUGGCCAGAGUUCAGUUUGGUUCAGUUCUCUGGCACUAUGUGACCAAGUCAGAUGUUCUCAGACCUGUUGCAGUGACCUUUCUCCUAGACUCUGUAACACAGGCUAUUCUGGCUCAGCCAGAAACUGGAAGCAGCCUAUAUGCCUCUCAACUGAAGAAUGGAUACAGAAAAUGUGGUACAUUUACACAAUGGAGUACUACUCAGCAGAAAAAAAAAAAC